UCUUGGUGCUUCUGUAUGCUGAUGGAGAGAACAGACCAGAGUCACAGGAUGGGAGAUACUCUGGAAGAGCUGAAUUCUUCACUGAAGAAAUUCCCAAAGGAAACUUCUCAAUGAAAAUGAGGAAAGUCAAGACUGAAGACAAAGGAGAGUUCAGGUGUGAAGUCCACUCAGAUACUGAUUCUGCCAAUACAACUGCUAGGAUAGCAGCACUGGGUUAUUCAUCCCUGCAUUGGCUGAUUCUGGGGCUUUGCAUCGCUGUCACACCUGUAGUCCUACUUACUGGUACUUUAUCUGUCAGGCAUUUAAUAAGGGAAGAUACAAGCAAACAGGCUCUGUUGAGUCACUGGUCACAUGUCACAGUUCCACCAAUCAUGGUUUCCGCAGCAUUCAUCCUGUGGGGUGUAAC
This is a non-coding RNA of Paramormyrops kingsleyae, 406 nucleotides long. The record is from RefSeq and is a predicted model, not a curated record. Lineage: Eukaryota; Metazoa; Chordata; Actinopteri; Osteoglossiformes; Mormyridae.